GAAAAUCCGUCGACUUUUAAAAUCGUGAGGGUUCAAGUCCCUCUAUCCCC
RNAcentral lists this transfer RNA (50 nucleotides) under Cremastosperma pendulum. Its description in RNAcentral is "partial tRNA-Leu". Lineage: Eukaryota; Viridiplantae; Streptophyta; Magnoliopsida; Magnoliales; Annonaceae. The record is from RNAcentral.